GCUACUGUCAACAACAAAGGUUAUGUAAGACAAUGGAGAGGAUAACUGCGCAAAGACGCUCAUUUGGCUUUGCCGGCUCCUCUGGUGACUGAGUGACAGGUCAGCUGGUGCAGCAGGAGGGUGAGAGAGCCACCCCUCUUCACAGGGUCAGUGGGACUUGUACCCUGGACAUGACCCCGAGUGACCCCCAGACUCACUGGUACCCACCUGGACCCGACCAGACCGGACUGGAACCGAUCGCUGUCCCCCAGAGGAGGCCAGGCAGGGCAGGCGUGUGAGGGACCGGAUGUACAGAAAAUGUAAAUGGACCUGCUACAUUGACCCUGAUUAUCCACAGCUCAUCCAUGGAUCAUCUGCUCAGAGUGAAAAGGGUCUGUGUCCUGGAGAUGUAGAGGUCCUGGAGAGAUGGAAGGAUACAGUAUAUCAGCAGAGUGCUGUCGUCUUUGUCCCUGGUGACCCAGGUGUACCACACCCUGAUCGAGGAGGUGAUGGCUUUGUAGAACUGCACCAGCAUCUGGGCUGGCAGCUUGGUUUUCAUCAGCUACCACAGAAAAUACAAAAUCUAUUGGGCCCUGUAGAGAUCCUGUGCUUGUCUGAUUGCAAGACAUUCUACCCCAACUGUCCAACAGUUAUUCAGUGAUCCACCUGCAGCUGUAGUCGGGCAUGCUGAGCUAGGAGAGCUUGUCUUGAGCAUUAUGGUAGAAGCUAAUGAUUAUUGAAAGUUCAUUGACAAUUUUUUCUAACUACACAGAUGAGUUGAGAUGAGAGGAUGCUUUCGAUUUUGAACUUUCCAACCCACAUCAGAAAUUCAUUGCCCCUGCAGCCUCCCCACUUUGAUGACCCAAACCAGUCGUGUCCUGAAGAUCCCAGUGGACCAUGGGCUGUGCGUGUCCCGGGCUGUUGCAGGGAUCAGCUCAGAGCCGACAGCUGUGUGAAUCCUCAUUAGACACAGUGGUAAUGGCGGCAGGACGGGACAGCCUAAACACUCCAAAGCACGGCCUGGGACGCUGCUCUGCUGUGGCGAUGUCUCAAACCACCACCCCCCUCCAUGGUACAACCACUAUAAUGUCAUCUGCACUGCUAUUGUCAGAGGGAAAAUGGCCAUAAAUUGUACUCAAAGUAAGUCUGUAGAGUUAGUUCAAAAUAAUAUGACUCAAGUACAAAGUAGUAGUUCAAGAGAUAACUCAAAUAAGGGUAAGAGUAUUUGGGGAGGAGAGUAAUUGACUGUCUGGGUGUAAUGUAAUUGGAUAGAGCUAAUGAAAUUGGAUGGACAAACACUUUUCUGAUGUGGGUCCACAGUGUUCCAUAGUAUGGCAUUAAUGCUGUG
Molecule: long non-coding RNA, 1327 nt
Organism: Boleophthalmus pectinirostris (great blue-spotted mudskipper)
Lineage: Eukaryota; Metazoa; Chordata; Actinopteri; Gobiiformes; Gobiidae
Exons: 4
Source: RefSeq, a predicted model, not a curated record